UGAACCCUAAAUCCCCUGUCCUUAUGCUUGAGCGAAGGAAAAAAAAUGGCUUUAAAAAUGCUUUUUGCAGUUUUGAAAGUCCUUGUGAUCCUUUCCCUUUUCAUGGCUCUCGAGGUCUCUGCAAGGGAACUUCUCGAGACUUCGAAUUCCCUUGGCCCUUAUAAGAUGCCUAUGACGCUCAAGAGACUAAUUGAUGUUCCCUGGGGCCACCAUCCUGUUACUAUUAACCCUUGAUGAUAUUCGCAACGCCAAAAUAAAACUCAUUCGGAAUAAGAGACUUCUCUCAUCAAGAAUAUUGUUUGGGUUUGAGUCUCGUACUAUACAUAGUUUGUAAUAUGCUGCUAUUUUUCUUUUCUUUAGUUUUUGAUCUAGCAAUAGAUUGAAAAUAAAUUGGACUGUCAAACGUAACGGAGUUGAAUUUUUAGUACAAUUUCACCA
Long non-coding RNA from Rhododendron vialii, 438 nucleotides. RefSeq lists it as uncharacterized. The record is from RefSeq and is a predicted model, not a curated record. The transcript has 2 exons. Lineage: Eukaryota; Viridiplantae; Streptophyta; Magnoliopsida; Ericales; Ericaceae.